UACCCGAUAGUGUAACGGUUAGCACUAGAGAUUUUGAUUCUCUCAGUCGAGGUUCGAAUCCUCGUCGGGUAA
Molecule: transfer RNA, 72 nt
Filed under: Planctomyces sp.
Lineage: Bacteria; Pseudomonadati; Planctomycetota; Planctomycetia; Planctomycetales; Planctomycetaceae
Also listed under: 1 other name
Description: tRNA-Gln
Rfam family: tRNA
About the family: Transfer RNA (tRNA) molecules are approximately 80 nucleotides in length. Their secondary structure includes four short double-helical elements and three loops (D, anti-codon, and T loops).
Source: RNAcentral